GUGAAUCAUCAAAUUUUUGAACGCAAAUUGCACUCUCCUCGGAGAGUAUGCCUGUUUGAGGGUCAGCCUAUAAAAAAUCGACAUAGUCACUGUUUCGCGGUGACAUUCGUCGGAAAUUGGGUCAUCUUAAAUCUUUGGGUUUUGAGCGGCUUAAAAUUUUCUUUACGAUUCUACGAACGUUUCUAAGAUUUACUUACACGUUUAAGGUAUCGAUUUUUAUUAGACGUGGUCGUUGCAUUGGAUGACGUCGACAAAUAUUUUGUUAAC
Molecule: unclassified non-coding RNA, 267 nt
Filed under: Glomus sp.
Lineage: Eukaryota; Fungi; Glomeromycota; Glomeromycetes; Glomerales; Glomeraceae
Description: partial contains 5.8S ribosomal RNA and internal transcribed spacer 2
Rfam family: 5.8S ribosomal RNA (bases 1-65)
Source: RNAcentral